RNAcentral lists this ribosomal RNA (448 nucleotides) under uncultured bacterium. RNAcentral's name for it is "partial 16S ribosomal RNA". It matches the Rfam family "Bacterial small subunit ribosomal RNA", at positions 330 to 792 of the family's 1533-position model. The record is from RNAcentral.
UCCAGACUCCUACGGGAGGCAGCAGUGGGGAAUAUUGCACAAUGGGGGAAACCCUGAUGCAGCAACGCCGCGUGAAGGAAGACGGUUUUCGGAUUGUAAACUUCUAUCAAUAGGGAAGAAAGAAAUGACGGUACCUAAAUAAGAAGCCCCGGCUAACUACGUGCCAGCAGCCGCGGUAAUACGUAGGGGGCAAGCGUUAUCCGGAAUUACUGGGUGUAAAGGGAGAGUAGGCGGCGGUGCAAGCCAGAUGUGAAAGCCCGGGGCUCAACCCCGGGACUGCAUUUGGAACUGUGCUGCUAGAGUGUCGGAGAGGCAGGCGGAAUUCCUAGUGUAGCGGUGAAAUGCGUAGAUAUUAGGAGGAACACCAGUGGCGAAGGCGGCCUGCUGGACGAUGACUGACGUUGAGGCUCGAAAGCGUGGGGAGCAAACAGGAGUAGAUACCCCAGUA